This 550-nucleotide ribosomal RNA is filed under the name uncultured Actinomycetes bacterium. RNAcentral's name for it is "bacterial SSU rRNA". It matches the Rfam family "Bacterial small subunit ribosomal RNA", at positions 256 to 818 of the family's 1533-position model. The record is from RNAcentral. Lineage: Bacteria; Bacillati; Actinomycetota; Actinomycetes.
GUAACCGGCUCACCAAGGCGACGACGGGUAGCCGGCCUGAGAGGGCGACCGGCCACACUGGGACUGAGACACGGCCCAGACUCCUACGGGAGGCAGCAGUGGGGAAUAUUGCACAAUGGGCGCAAGCCUGAUGCAGCGACGCCGCGUGAGGGAUGACGGCCUUCGGGUUGUAAACCUCUUUCAGUACAGACGAAGCGCAAGUGACGGUAUGUACAGAAGAAGCACCGGCCAACUACGUGCCAGCAGCCGCGGUAAUACGUAGGGUGCGAGCGUUGUCCGGAAUUACUGGGCGUAAAGAGCUCGUAGGUGGUUUGUCGCGUUGUUCGUGAAAACCUGAGGCUUAACCUUGGGCGUGCGGGCGAUACGGGCAGACUGGAGUACUGCAGGGGAGACUGGAAUUCCUGGUGUAGCGGUGGAAUGCGCAGAUAUCAGGAGGAACACCGAUGGCGAAGGCAGGUCUCUGGGCAGUCACUGACGCUGAGGAGCGAGAGCAUGGGUAGCGAACAGGAUUAGAUACCCUGGUAGUCCAUGCUGUAAACGGUGGGCGCUA